This is an RNA transcript of Danaus plexippus (monarch butterfly), 2154 nucleotides long. It is a transcript of the gene named carboxypeptidase M, with no coding region annotated. The record is from RefSeq and is a predicted model, not a curated record. NCBI's taxonomy places the organism in Eukaryota, Metazoa, Arthropoda, Insecta, Lepidoptera, Nymphalidae. The transcript has 12 exons.
CAGCCGCCAGUCGGGUGUCGGUCGUCAACUGGCAAGGACCAAGUCCGAGCUGCCCCGCCAACAUAACUUACCCGCGCGGAUACAUUCCAAAUAGUUACUCAAAUACUAACUUUUAAAUGAUAGCCAAUAUUACUAUUACAAGUGAACGACUUCGGUACAUUUAAGAUGUUCCAGUGUACAAAAUCCCUCUCAAGGGUUUUCCUGUUGCUACUUAUAUUUAAAACAUCUCACGGACAAUAUUCUCCCGGAUCAAGUUUUACAGAAGAUGACGCAACCAACCCUAGCGAUGUGGAGUCUCGUGAUGUCGGUACUGAGCUGCAGUACAAAUACCAUGACCACGAGGAGAUGACACGCUACCUGCGGGCCGUCUCCGCCAGAUAUCCAGCGCUCACAGCGCUCUACUCCAUAGGAAAGUCCGUCCAAGGUCGAGAUCUCUGGGUGAUGGUGGUGUCGGCAUCGCCCUAUGAGCAUAUGAUUGGCAAGCCAGAUGUCAAAUACGUAGCCAAUAUACACGGCAACGAAGCUGUCGGAAGGGAGAUGCUUUUACAUCUUAUACAGUACUUAGUGACUUCCUACGAGACGGAUUCCUACAUAAAAUGGUUAUUAGACAACACACGCAUACAUUUGAUGCCAUCGAUGAACCCUGAUGGUUUUCUCAUAUCUCGUGAAGGACAGUGUGACACCAUUCAUGGCAGGCACAACGCCCGUCGCUACGACUUGAACCGUAACUUCCCGGAUUUCUUCAAACGGAACACGAAGCAGCCUCAACCGGAGACGGAAGCUGUAAAGGAAUGGAUAAGCAAGAUACAGUUCGUACUAUCAGGAUCGCUACACGGCGGCGCCCUGGUCGCCUCCUACCCUUACGACAACACGCCCAGCGCUAAUCCCCUGAACGCAGUUUUCCAAAGCUACGCGCACAGUCCGUCGGUAUCGCCCGAUGAUGACGUCUUCCAGCACUUGGCCCGCGUGUACUCCAGCAACCACGACAAGAUGUCCCGAGGAGUCUCUUGCAAAUCCGGAUCACCCAAGUUUGAUAACGGAAUCACUAAUGGCGCGGCCUGGUAUCCACUGACAGGCGGAAUGCAAGACUACAACUACCUGUGGCAUGGAUGUAUGGAAAUUACUCUAGAGAUCUCAUGCUGCAAAUAUCCGCUGGCUCAUGAGCUACCGAAAUACUGGCAGGAUAACAAACAGGCGCUUAUAAAGUAUCUAGCUGAAGCCCACCGCGGCGCCCACGGGUUCGUGAUGGACGAACACGGUAACCCGGUGGAAAAGGCUUCGAUCAAGGUUAAAGGACGCGAGGUCACGUUCCAUACAACUAAAUACGGAGAAUUCUGGCGUAUACUACUCCCUGGAACUUAUAGACUAGAGGUCGGAGCCGAUGGGUAUUUACCACAAGAAGUAGAAUUCUUCGUCAUAGACAGCCACCCCACUCUGUUGAACGUAACGCUGCAUUCCGCCAAGGGGCACGUGAGCCUGAGUACGCGCGCACCACUAACCAAAACAACUGCGACGAAGAAAUCCGUGGCCUUUCCCAAGGAUUAAAUAAAAAAUACCCAAACAUAACAGACGAAACGAGCAUUUUCUAUGGGAUCUAGCUCGUAUCGAUGGCGGGGGUCCUUACUACCGGCCAGCACCGCGCCCGCCGCCACCGCCCGCGCCGGGUCUGUUCUCAACAUUCACUAAUUCCAUCAACAGUUUCGUAUCUAAUAUAUUUGGCUAGGUCCUUCAUCGUAUGAUUGUUAUUUAUUAUGUAAUAACGCUAUGUUGAUACUUGAGAUCACAUUCGUCAUUUCGUCUACAGUUGAAAUUCACUCCUAUGUAGUGCAAUUUCAGAGUACUAGUACGUACCUACCGAAUAGUUAUAAGUAAUCAUUAAACACUUUAUAAUUUCGAUGUAAGACUGCAAUAGUAUUUUAUUAUCUUUUAAUUUAUUUACACACAACAGAAACCUUUCAAGGUAGUAAUUGUCAAGGUAGCAAGAUCAUAUUUUGUGCCUCUUACACUAUUUAAUAGUUUUUGACAUUUUCAUUAUUUAAACAAUACUUUGAAGAAAAUGUCACAUUAAUAAUGUCCGACAUUAUUUUAUUUAACAGCUCUUGUAAAUAUAUUCAAGUUAAGCAUGCAUAAUUUAUUUAAAUAAAAAAUGUUAAG